Molecule: non-coding RNA, 404 nt
Organism: Paramuricea clavata
Lineage: Eukaryota; Metazoa; Cnidaria; Anthozoa; Malacalcyonacea; Plexauridae
Source: the annotation of a GenBank genome assembly
AGAAUGAAGGUGGAUUUGAAAUUAAUCACUAUCCUUCUAUCAGUUGUGGUACUUCAUGUAGUAUUUACUGAAGGUUGGGGAGUGAGAAUUCCCAAUCCUGUCCGUGUUGUCAGACGCGUAGUAAGAAAAACUGGGGAAGGAAUUAGGACUGCAGUCCGGAAAACUGGGGCAGGAAUCAGGACUGCAGUCCGGAAGACCGGGGAAGGUAUUAAGACUGGAAUCCGGAAGACUGGCCAAGGAAUUAAGACUGGAAUCAGAAAAACUGGGGAAGGUUUAAAAAAGGCAGGGGAAGGAUUAAAGAAAGCAGGACAAGUGACAGGAAAACAUCUUUAUAAAGGAUUGAGAGAAACUGGAAAGGCUUUUAUUACAGCCUCAAGCGUUGUCUCUGAUAUAUUGGACAGAGU